This 1178-nucleotide long non-coding RNA is filed under the name Homo sapiens (human). Its description in RNAcentral is "non-protein coding lnc-CASC10-2:2". The record is from RNAcentral. Lineage: Eukaryota; Metazoa; Chordata; Mammalia; Primates; Hominidae.
AUUGUCCCAACAAGGCUGUGCAAGAAACAAUCAGGAAAGCUCAGCAGCAUAAAACUGUAAGUGUUUAUAGUUCAUGCAUCUGAGAGUUGCCUGGGCAACUCCCCUGACCUCAGCAGGGGUCGUUCACACCUUUGAGGAUGGCUUUAUUUAAGCAAGGACAACCUGCUUACAUCAGAUGAGAAAACUGGGUCUGAGAAUCCAGAUGUCCUGAGUGAGUAAAGGGAAAAUUUUCACUUCUUCCUAUGGAAGCCUGUCACCCCCCAACUCCAUCCUAGGCUGAGGAAGUCUGCGUUCUUCUCUCACGGAGCUGGAGAACCUUUCAAGUGAUUGGCCUAAGAACAGGCAGGAGACGCGAUCUGGACCAAUCAGAAACUUACAUUGAGGGCUCAUUCCAGUGGUCUAGGCUGCAGCUCCUGGUUGGAGUCACAUCCAGCCAUGCUUUCUGUGCCCUGAUCAGCUGGAUUAGAUGUGAAGAUUCUCAGAAUUUCAGAAUUGAGAUGCAGAGAUUCUCCAUUCAGAAUCUCAGAAUUCCCAGAUUCUCAGAAUCUCCAAAAGCUUGCUGGUCCCCCGGGCAAAUGCAGCCGCUAGGGAGGGGCACCCGCAUGGAGGCGGUAUGCAGCUGGCUGCAGAACAAACAGCAGAGAAGAUGUCUGAGUUGGAGGACAUUGAGGCUCCACCAGCCCUAGGGGGCACAGGAGACCAGGGACACACGAAACAGAACAGCUGCCUGACCUCUGCCCUGGGUCACACUGGCAUGGGCUCCAUCUGUUCCUGAAUGAGGAGAGAGGCUGAAGUGAGAGCCUGACAUUUGUCCUUCUCUCAUCUUUCUGUCUAGCCUGUCCCUUAAUCGGGCUCUGAUAAGAGGCGACAGGAGACUCAUAUAAGCACCAGCUUUGGGUCCUUGAUGAUAGGUUAUUGUAAAUGACAUGGAGGCCCUUUACAAAGAAUGGAUAAAUUGCUCCCAACAGAGGCAGGAGGAAUGCUUGAAGCCAGGAGUCUGAGACCCCAUCUCUACCAAAAAUGUAAUCAUUAGCCAGGUGCUGUGGCAAGCACCUGUAGUCCCAGCUACUUGGGAGGUCGAGGUGGGAGAAUCACGUGAGCCUGGGAAGUUGAGGCUGCAGUGAGCUGAGAACACGCCACUGCACUCCAGCCUGGUGGACAGAGUGAGACUUUGUAUU